This is a long non-coding RNA of Panthera uncia (snow leopard), 584 nucleotides long. RefSeq lists it as uncharacterized. NCBI's taxonomy places the organism in Eukaryota, Metazoa, Chordata, Mammalia, Carnivora, Felidae. The transcript has 2 exons. The record is from RefSeq and is a predicted model, not a curated record.
GGCCCUUUGUCAGAGAGCACUCUGUCUUGGGCGGGAUGGGGUCUGAUUUCAUCAUCUCUCCUGAGCCCUGGGAUAGUCCUCUGAUUUCCUAGGAAGUUUCUUUUAAUAGGAAAGGUGCUAAUGCCUCUAUUUUACUUCAUUACGCCUUACCGCCUGCCCUUUUUGGCUUCUCAUUUCCCUGAAAUUUUCUGGAACACUACUGCCCUCCCACCCCACUAAGACUUCAGGAAAUAUAGGAAAUUAGUGGAGAAGCCUUGGCCGCCACCACGGACAAGCUCUUCAAGGCAAGAUGGCAAGAGGUGUCAUGAGGCUACUCACUCACUCCUGGAAAAAAUGAUUCCGAACGAGACACUCCUCCCAGGGAAGUCAAGCGGCUCUCUCAAGGGCCCUGAAGUCAGAGUCAAAACAGCUUCACCCCGAUGCGCUGUGUGCCUGUAGGCCUGCCAUUCUAAACCAGGGGCACUGACAGAAAAUGAAAAGAAUUAGCAUUCCAGGUUGGCAGCUUAGGCAGAAGUGAGUCUCUGCCUUUCCAGCAGAACAAUAAAGCCCAGGUGCUGGAUGCACCUGAGACCCACCGGUUUCAA